This 427-nucleotide ribosomal RNA is filed under the name uncultured prokaryote. RNAcentral describes it as "bacterial SSU rRNA". It matches the Rfam family "Bacterial small subunit ribosomal RNA", at positions 355 to 774 of the family's 1533-position model. The record is from RNAcentral.
UGAGGAAUAUUGGUCAAUGGGCGCAAGCCUGAACCAGCCAUCCCGCGUGAAGGAAGAAGGCCGCAAGGUUGUAAAAUCCUUUUGCUGGGGAAGAAUAAGUCCAGGAGGGAAUGCCUGGAUGAUGACAUGAACCGGCGAAUAAGCCCCGGCCAACUACGUGCCAGCAGCCGCGGUAACACGUAGGGGGCAAGCGUUGUUCGGAAUUACUGGGCGUAAAGGGCAUGUAGGCGGUUUAGUAAGCUUGGCGUGAAAGACCACAGCUCAACUGUGGGGUUGCGUUGAGAACUGCUGAACUUGAGUUACGGAGAGGGAGCUAGAAUUCCUGGUGUAGGGGUGGAAUCUGUAGAGAUCAGGAAGAAUACCGAUGGCGAAGGCAAGCUUCUGGCCGAUAACUGACGCUGAGGUGCGAAAGUGUGGGGAUCAAACA